Molecule: long non-coding RNA, 2024 nt
Organism: Micropterus dolomieu (smallmouth bass)
Lineage: Eukaryota; Metazoa; Chordata; Actinopteri; Centrarchiformes; Centrarchidae
Exons: 2
Source: RefSeq, a predicted model, not a curated record
UGUAAGUCACCUUUCAUCCAGAGCAGAAAUAAUAAAAAGCUGAAGAGACCAUGUUUGAUAAUGUCCAUGUUCUGGUAUCUGGAGACUCACAUAAAUCUGUUAGUGUAGUUACAGAGAGAUGAAGAGUUGCAGGUGGGAGUGUCUCUGCAGCGUGUGACGUUUUCUGAUCCUGUUGGCUGCUGUAUCAAAAUUUGCUUGGUGAAUCAAAGUGACUGAGUAUUUGUGGUACUUGAGGUCCCCCUACAGUACGUGAGAUGGUGGGACAGAGGUGUGCUAACAGUGCACUGGGGUUUUUGUUCAGAUAUUGAGUGUGUUUGUAUCACUGUGCUCACUAACGGCACAGAAGUACAAGCCUUUAUCUUCUGGCACCAGAUUCUUCACAGUGAACGUCCCACUGUGAGCGUCAGGCUUGGUGGCUGAGAAUUUCUCUUUGCUGAAUUCUCCAAAGUCGUGAUCUUUGCUGGCAGUUGUUGUGAACACUAUUUGUUUCAUUGCUUCUCCUGGCCGCUGUCUGUACCAGUACAUCUGGAAAUGUUAUCUGAGAUCACUUCCAACAAAUGAAUAAUUGUCAAGAGCAAAAACAUAAAACAAUAAAAUAACGUAAACUUUUUUUAGUUAAUUUUAUUGCAAAUUACCUGUAAUCCACAGCAAAAACACUGACAAUAUGAGGAGGUCUUGUUUGAUGAUAUCCAUGUUCUGACAGAGAGAGACUGCUCAUAGUUACAGAGACAUGAAGAGUUGCAGGUGUCUCUGCAUUAACACUGUGUAGGUGGGAGGAUCAGUGGAAGUGUAGGUCCCCCUACAGUUCAUCACUGUCAUAAAUGUUACCUGUAAAUCAGAUCUGUAGCACUGACAAGACUGAGCAGAUUUUAUGUUGUGAUGUAUUUUGUGAUGAUAUUUAAAGGGGCAAUAUGUAGUUUUCAGCGGACACUAGCGGUUUGGUUUUAAGAUUGCAACCAGAUGUGGGCUCGUACACGUGCUUGCUUGAAAUCGUAAACUUUUACUGUAUUAAGCCGACGUGAUACAUUGGCGUUAGCUCACCUGCUGCUUUUCAGUAACUAACAUUACUAUUUGUGUAUCUUUUACCGGAGGCUCAGCAAUGUCAGCACAGCUAAAUGGAUGAGAACGAAACGGUUAAUGAGCUGGACUGAAUAUUAUAAAUGACACUGUUGUAAGUAACUUUACUGUAGUGGCUCUUCCAUUGUGGUGUUGUCAUAUUAUGUGGCUCAUGUUAGUUAUGCCGAAUGAGACGGUGGAGAAGCUGUGUACCUGAGUAUCGCUAAAACCACAAUAAAUCUAAAUUGAACUUUACAAAGCACUCAGUGGUAGAUCCGUGCUAAAGUAAGCUGGCUGCUCCUGCCUUGCAUCAAGGCUGCUAUAAACAAAUCGCUCCACAUUGCUUGGUACCGUUACAUCCUGUCUUGCAGGCUAAAAUAAACACUUUGUCAUAAUUCCAGUGGUACACAGGAUAUUUAUAUGAAUCGUGUUAAAUUAAGGAUUAGGAGUGUAAACUUGUGUUUUCAUGCUUACAAUAGACCUGAAGUGCAGUUUCUUGCAGCACAGUGUCAGGAGCCAAGCGUGCGUUUGUUGUGACUGUUUUCUAUCCGACUGCCUCUGUUCAGUAUCAGCACCCUUAUCAUGUGUGUUCCCAGGUUCCCAUCAUCAAACUGACUACUGACUCCUUCACUGAGGUCAAAGUGGACAUCAGCUUCAAUGUGAAGAGUGGCGUUGAAGCCGCUCGGCUCAGCAAGGACUACAAAGAGCUGUCUCUCCUCCCUUAGUAUGUGUGUGUAUGCAGGUAAUGGAGAACAGGAGGGCACACUGGAUUGGUCCUGCAGAGCUGAUUGGAGUCUCCUGAUUGGUCACCUGGAUGACAACAGCCAUCUUAAGCACCACUGACAGGAACUCCUCUCUCUCUCUCUGCCUUUCCCAACCUGAGCCUGUGUACUGUGUGUUAUACCUGUUAGUUGUGAGUAGAAAACUGCUGUGUAGAGUAGACCUUGUAAAUGAAUCUGUGCAGCUUA